CUACGGAGGGUGCGAGCGUUGUUCGGAAUUACUGGGCGUAAAGGGCGCGCAGGCGGCUUGAUAAGUCAGAUGUGAAAGCCCACGGCUCAACCGUGGAAGUGCAUCUGAAACUGUCUGGCUUGAGUACUGGAGAGGAAAGUGGAAUUCCUGGUGUAGAGGUGAAAUUCGUAGAUAUCAGGAGGAACACCGGUGGCGAAGGCGACUUUCUGGACCAAUAUUGACGCUGAGGUGCGAAAGCGUGGGGAGCAAACAGGAUUAGAUACCCCAGUAGUCC
Molecule: ribosomal RNA, 274 nt
Filed under: uncultured bacterium
Lineage: Bacteria
Description: partial 16S ribosomal RNA
Rfam family: Bacterial small subunit ribosomal RNA
Source: RNAcentral